GUGAGUGUGAGUGUGAGAGCGAGAACAGCCCGCAGGUCCCGAGGCGCUUGCUGGGGACUCUGCCGCGGAAAGUUCCCAGUCCCCAGCCGCAGCUGUGUGUCUGAAUGGAGACCUUCUCCAGAAACGUGGGUUACAGGCGUCUCCUAGCGGCGAAAGCGGCAUAAUGCAAGCGAGAUAAUUCUGUUGGUGGAGCCCGCCUUCCCUUCGGAAGGGCUUGCCUGUUGGGGGCUCUGCUGGAUUUCACAGGUCACAGAGGCUGGAGUCCAAGCCAGCAAUGCAAAGCCAGGCUCCUCCACAGGUCUGGCCUCGCUGGCUUUUAGUCUCUGAGGCGCCAGCACCUGGACCAAAGGGGGUGACAAUAGAGUCUUCGUAGUCAAAUAAAAGCGAUCCAGCCCCUCUGCUUUCCCUGAGAAAACUCCAUCCAAGGAAGAUUGCAAGAACAGUUUGUUCACAUCCAACAUUUGCAGCUACUCUGGAAAACAGGAAGCGAGCUCAACCCAUCCCAAGCCCAAACCACCAAGAUAUGUGAAAUUCAUACAGCAGAAAUAAUGAGAUUUUCUGAUAAGAGAUAUGGAAUGAAAAAUAGUUCUGCCCGGCAAUCAUUUCCAGAUCAUCCUUCUCACUGAACACUGCCGACCUUGGAGACUGCGGGACAUGCAGAAAAGCGUACUGAGGUCUUGCAAUUUUGGAAGUCUCCUUUGAAAUGAGACACAAAACUUAGAAGAUACUGGUUGGAAAGUCCUUGUCGUUCGUUUCUGCCACAGCUCUGGAGUUUCCAUUAAGGACUUGAUGAACCAGUUACGCCAUUGGGCCUUGUGGAUACACUUGAACCACGAGGAUUCCAGAGCACACAACUUUCUGGAUCUAUGAAAUGGUAACCACCAAAAGUCUUUUUGUGCUUCUAAAACAGAACACUGGCACAUGCAUGAUUCAGAAGGGAAGAUUUUUUGUUCACAACAUGAGAUUCUGGACAGACCAUUGUCAAAGUACCCACAUAUAAUGAGGACAUUUAUACUAUAUCUGAUGUUAGAAGGCUAAAUGGGAAGAAAAUGCAUGAAGGAUUAAGAGUUAGGGAAGUUGACUUCUCUUUAAAAAUAACUCAACAAUUCCCACGACAAAAGCUCUGAGUACAGAAGUCUUUGCUCGAGUUUAACCAUCUCUCACAUGUGCCUCAUGUCAACAAUCCUUCAUUGGUGAUUAAUAUCCAACACCUGAUUGCCAAAGGCAUAUUCAUGGUGCCAGCUUUCACUAAUUUGUCCUACUCAUUCAAGGAAAUGUAUUCACAGAAUGCCUCAUGUAGAGUUGAUUUUUUCUCAUUUUUCAAUAUCUCUUACAUCUCUGUUGUGGGUUUUCCACAUCAUUGUGUCAUUUAUAUAUGAAUUAACAUUAUCAUUAUUUUGAAAAUUUUGAGCUUGUAUGUAGUCUUUCCAAAAUUCCAAAUUGACUGAAUUUUGGGACCACUUACUUUUUAAAAUAAGUUAGUCAUCUUCAUUUUUACUUUUCUUUAUGUGUUUAGGCACAGAAACAUAAUUAAUUUGCAUUAUUUAAAGUGAAUUUGUGUUUGGAAUACACAUAUGACGAACUAUCUAAUUGCCACCUAACUCAAUUAAUAGAUUUUUUCCAUAUGCAAUUGUAAUUUUAUUUUUGAGUUUAUU
Molecule: RNA transcript, 1655 nt
Organism: Microtus ochrogaster (prairie vole)
Lineage: Eukaryota; Metazoa; Chordata; Mammalia; Rodentia; Cricetidae
Source: RefSeq, a predicted model, not a curated record